ACAUUAUAAAGUUGGUUCAAUAGUCUCAAAAGAGAAAAUGCCUUCCUUAAGUUGUCACCCUAUUGUUCCGAUUGUUUUGUAUUUUUGCAGAUCUUGUAUUUUUUAUCAUAUUUAUUGUUCAAGUUUCUACCUUCAUGUGUCUAUUAUAGUUUUUGAGAUAAAAUACAAGAACACUAAAAUAAGUCAAAAUUUCGUCAUUUACCUGCAAUUAUAGCACCUUAGUGAGUAAAAAAAACGGUUAAUAUGUAGAUCCACGUGUAUUGUUUUUCUUUUUGCCAUGGCCAGUUUUUACCUAGUACAUAAUAUAGUUUUUAAGUUACAUUUGUACUUUGCAAACUCGUGGUUUUACGGAUAGUUUUGGUGCAAACAGGAAAUAGGAAGAAAUUGACGUCGACAUUAUGACUAUUGGUGCCACU
This 416-nucleotide long non-coding RNA is filed under the name Mytilus galloprovincialis (Mediterranean mussel). Lineage: Eukaryota; Metazoa; Mollusca; Bivalvia; Mytilida; Mytilidae. The record is from RNAcentral.